UACGGGGGGGGCAAGCGUUGUUCGGAAUUACUGGGCGUAAAGCGUGCGUAGGUGGUUCGUUAAGUCUGAUGUGAAAGCCCUGGGCUCAACCUGGGAAUGGCAUUGGAAACUGGCGACCUAGAGUGCGGUAGAGGGCAGUGGAAUUCCCGGUGUAGCAGUGAAAUGCGUAGAGAUCGGGAGGAACAUCUGUGGCGAAGGCGACUGCCUGGACCAGCACUGACACUGAGGCACGAAAGCGUGGGGAGCAAACAGG
This 253-nucleotide ribosomal RNA is filed under the name uncultured bacterium. RNAcentral's name for it is "partial 16S ribosomal RNA". It matches the Rfam family "Bacterial small subunit ribosomal RNA", at positions 524 to 776 of the family's 1533-position model. The record is from RNAcentral.